RNAcentral lists this ribosomal RNA (456 nucleotides) under uncultured Bacteroides sp. Its description in RNAcentral is "bacterial SSU rRNA". It matches the Rfam family "Bacterial small subunit ribosomal RNA", at positions 925 to 1382 of the family's 1533-position model. Lineage: Bacteria; Pseudomonadati; Bacteroidota; Bacteroidia; Bacteroidales; Bacteroidaceae. The record is from RNAcentral.
ACAAGCGGAGGAACAUGUGGUUUAAUUCGAUGAUACGCGAGGAACCUUACCCGGGCUUGAAUUGCAGAGGAACAUAGUUGAAAGAUUAUGGCCGCAAGGUCUCUGUGAAGGUGCUGCAUGGUUGUCGUCAGCUCGUGCCGUGAGGUGUCGGCUUAAGUGCCAUAACGAGCGCAACCCUUAUCAUUAGUUACUAACAGGUCAUGCUGAGGACUCUAGUGAGACUGCCGUCGUAAGAUGUGAGGAAGGUGGGGGAUGACGUCAAAUCAGCACGGCCCUUACGUCCGGGGCUACACACGUGUUACAAUGGGGGGUACAGAGGGCAGCUACCGGGCGACCGGAUGCCAAUCCCAAAAACCUCUCUCAGUUCGGAUCGAAGUCUGCAACCCGACUUCGUGAAGCUGGAUUCGCUAGUAAUCGCGCAUCAGCCACGGCGCGGUGAAUACGUUCCCGGGCCUU